Molecule: small RNA, 132 nt
Filed under: Salmonella enterica
Lineage: Bacteria; Pseudomonadati; Pseudomonadota; Gammaproteobacteria; Enterobacterales; Enterobacteriaceae
Also listed under: 1 other name
Description: RtT sRNA
Rfam family: RtT RNA
About the family: This family represents a bacterial cis-regulatory element known as RtT RNA. The exact function of RtT is unknown although it is thought that it may be involved in changing the cellular response in relation to amino acid starvation.
Source: RNAcentral
AUUCUACCCAUGCGGGGAAGGAUGAGAAGCUUCGACUAAGGUUCGAUUCGAGCGUCAGCGAGAAAGCGUUGCCGCAGGCAACGACCCGAAGGGCGAAGCGCGCAGCGCUGAGUCAUCCUUCCCCCACCACCA